GGCUUUAUCAGUAGUAUGGUUAAUACCAAAAAUAUAUGAUUUAGUACGGAAUUGCAUGGCUGUCGUCAGUUCGUGCUGUGAAGUUUAGGAUUAAGUUCUUUUUAACGAAUGCAACCCUAUAAAUAAGUUUUUAUUUUAGAGAUAAUUUAUUUUUUUAAAUAUACUUAUUUAAUCUAUAAUUAGACUAUAUUGAAUCGUUUCUGUAUAGUCUUUUAUAGGGGUUAUAGGCUGAAGUCAAGUCCCUAUGGUCUUUAUACGUUGGGCUACACACGUGUUACAAGGGUAAAAACAGAAAGACGCAAAAAAGUAAUUUUUAGCAAAACUUUAAAAAUUACCUUAGUUCAGAUUGUUUUAUGAAAUUCUAAAACAUGAAGAUGAAAUCGUUAGUAAUUGUAAAUUAUUAUGUUACAGUGAAACAAUAGUCAAAUUUUGCACACACCGCCCAUCACGCUCGGAAAGUCAAUAAUAGCGGAAGAUUUGAAAAACUCUGCGCAAAACUAAUAUUAUAUUUAUAUUAGUUGUUAUUAUAUUAUUUUUUAAUGGCAUGGUUGAAAAGUAGUAUCCAAUCUAGUAUUGGUAAUUUGAGUGAAGUUGACACAAGGUA
RNAcentral lists this ribosomal RNA (604 nucleotides) under Tetrahymena alphathermophila. RNAcentral describes it as "partial small subunit ribosomal RNA". It matches the Rfam family "Bacterial small subunit ribosomal RNA", at positions 983 to 1498 of the family's 1533-position model. The record is from RNAcentral. Lineage: Eukaryota; Ciliophora; Oligohymenophorea; Hymenostomatida; Tetrahymenidae.